UCUGGACUAAAGCUCUCUGCCAACCAGUCAUCCAACCAAACCAUUUUUCCAGGGAUCAGUAACUCCAGAGUUUCUCUUUAACUCUUCUGAGAGUCUAUUUAAUUUAGCUAUGGCCAGAGUGACUUUACCAUUAGGACCUGUGUUUUCUGGAAUGUAAGUGCAACAAGUCAUAGUGUCGGGAAGUAUUUUACAGACCCCCCUUUUUUCGGCUAAGAUCAUGUCUAAGGCCAGUCUGUUCUGGAAG
This is a non-coding RNA of Pelobates cultripes (western spadefoot toad), 244 nucleotides long. NCBI's taxonomy places the organism in Eukaryota, Metazoa, Chordata, Amphibia, Anura, Pelobatidae. The record is from the annotation of a GenBank genome assembly.